AAUGAAUGAAUGAAUGAAUGAAUGAAUGAAUGAAUGAAUACACAAUUUCAUAUUAAAGUUGCACGUCUCCGGAUGGUACUGACACUCUGACAUAUGUUGCCCUGGGCGUCGCCGGGUUCGCAGUACUUCUUGCAUUUGCUCUGUCUGUCGCACUAUGCUGUGUUUAUAAAAAACUUAGGAACGGACGGCCAAGAUUACGCGACAAAUCAUCUCGAUUAACUUCAAUAUCAACGAUUGGAGAACGACCACCUUCUUAUAGAAGUCAUGAAUCUGAGCGCAUGUUUGUAAACUCACCCGUACAAUCACCAAGAGAAUCCAAAGUAUACCCGUUCUAUGACGUGAACUAUAAAAAGCCAAGAGUUACAUCAGACGCCUAGAUAUUUCCAACCCUCAGAUGAUAAUAAAGGGCACUACAGCGUUUAAAAAAGGGAAUGUGUAACAAAAAAUACAAAAAUGAUUUCGUGGUAAAAAAGCAUCUUCAGAUCGUCUGGGAUUUGUGAAAAAAAUCUAUUUACAUUCUAAAAAGAACGCCAAAUACUAGUACAAGUGUUGGUUAAUAGCCGCCCGUCUAUUAUUUAGUAAUAACCCCAAACUCAGUAGUAGAAAGGUUCGAUAUGACUGAUUUAUCUUUAUUUUAUGUUAAUACAUAUAAGUACGUCACGACAAAACCAACAUAAUGGUUUUGCGACCAGCAAGGAUCCAGACCAGCCUGCGCAUCCGCGCAGUCUGACCAGGAUCCAUGCUGUUCGCUUACAAACCCUAUAAUACGUAGAGAAACUAAUAGCGAACAGCAUGGAUCCUGAUCAGACUGCGCGGACACGCAGGCUGGUCUGGAUCCAUGCAGGUCGCAAACCCAUUACGUUGGUUUUGUCAUGACGCGGCUCAUAUAUUCCUUGAUUUCCCUUUUGGAGUUGAAUUAUCGUUAAAGUAUCUCUUAUUUUAACAUCACAUGAUAAAAUACAUAGCCCGAUAUUACUAUAAAAUAAAUGUGUUUUAACAUAUCUAUUUAAAAAAGAAAGAAAAAAAGGGUAGUUUUAAUGUUUUAUCCUAAACAUUUUUCAUUAUAAGUUAUUGGUCAGUCACUAAUAUCACUAAUAGUCAAUCUCUUGAACUAUAUUACUAACUCACCGACAGAAUGAGCAUCAUGUCACUUUAAGUUAAUUCUAUAGUGAUGAAACCGUAGUGUCUUGGUUCAUCAAUUUAAAUAAAUGAGCCACGUCACGACAAAACCAACAUAGUGCGUUUGCGACCAGCACGGAUCCAGAUCAGCCUGCGCAUCCGCGCAGUCUGAUCAGGAUCCAUGCUGUUCGCUUACCAACUCUAUUACAAGUAGAGAAACUGACAGCGAACAGCAUGGAUCGCAAACGCAUUAUGUUGGUUUUGUCAUGGCGCGGCUCAAAUGCUUUUGCACUUCCCCGGUGCUUUUAGCUGUAAUUUCAUUAAAAGGAACUCGAUCGCCUGUCAUUUAUAAAAUAAGCUGAAUGACUUUAAAUUGAAUGUUUGGUCUGUAUCCAGCAAAAUAAUGUAUGUUGUUUUUUUUCAACAAAAUAUUACAGAGAGACACAUAUUUUAUCUUGCAUUGAAUUUCAUGAUAAAUAAAUCUAAUUCAAAGUACAAAUUGCAUUAUCAAUAAGUUCUUCAUCUUAUUUCUUAUGCAAAUUAUUGCGUAAUUAUUCAGUAUAUUUAUUUAUUUUACUAACGUACUGAAAAGGACAUUGUCAAAAUCAAUCAAACGUGUAUUUCAUCCCUUUCAUAAGUUGCAUUUAUAUUAAAAUUUUUAAAGCAUUUAUCAUGUUUUAACAAAACAUUUAAUAUUUGCUAAUAUGAAUGUGCAUUUAUCAUUUGCAUUGUGGUAUGAAAAUUAUAGAUAUAUCAUAUUUACUCUUUUUUUUACCCCACACACUAGCUAGUAUUUUUUCAUGUUCAGUUUGUAUUCAGUUUGUAAAUUAUUGUGGCAACCUUUUUCUAGGACAUACAUCGGGCAGUAAAAAUAUUUCUGUUAAUAAAUGAUUUUCUCAUUCUACACUUAAAAGCUCAGUUUUUAUC
Molecule: long non-coding RNA, 2046 nt
Organism: Ruditapes philippinarum (Manila clam)
Lineage: Eukaryota; Metazoa; Mollusca; Bivalvia; Venerida; Veneridae
Exons: 3
Source: RefSeq, a predicted model, not a curated record